Molecule: ribosomal RNA, 467 nt
Filed under: uncultured bacterium
Lineage: Bacteria
Description: partial 16S ribosomal RNA
Rfam family: Bacterial small subunit ribosomal RNA
Source: RNAcentral
ACGAACGCUGGCGGCGUGCUUAACACAUGCAAGUCGAACGGAAAGGCCCUGCUUUUGUGGGGUGCUCGAGUGGCGAACGGGUGAGUAACACGUGAGUAACCUGCCCUUGACUUUGGGACAACUUCAGGAAACUGGGGCUAAUACCGGAUAGGAGCUCCUGCUGCAUGGUGGGGGUUGGAAAGUUUCGGCGGUUGGGGAUGGACUCGCGGCUUAUCAGCUUGUUGGUGGGGUAGUGGCUUACCAAGGCUUUGACGGGUAGCCGGCCUGAGAGGGUGACCGGCCACAUUGGGACUGAGAUACGGCCCAGACUCCUACGGGAGGCAGCAGUGGGGAAUAUUGCACAAUGGGCGGAAGCCUGAUGCAGCAACGCCGCGUGCGGGAUGACGGCCUUCGGGUUGUAAACCGCUUUCGCCUGUGACGAAGCGUGAGUGACGGUAAUGGGUAAAGAAGCACCGGCUAACUACGUG